Parus major (Great Tit) is the source of this 936-nucleotide long non-coding RNA. RefSeq lists it as uncharacterized. The transcript is spliced from 2 exons. The record is from RefSeq and is a predicted model, not a curated record. NCBI's taxonomy places the organism in Eukaryota, Metazoa, Chordata, Aves, Passeriformes, Paridae.
GCGGAGGCCGGGCAGGGGAAGGGAGGCCGCGGGGCCCCGGCUGAAGCUGGGCCGCUUCAUGGUGCUGCCAUCCCGCUGCCAUCCCGCUGCCAUCCCGCUGCCAUCCCGCUGCCAUCCCGCUGCCAUCCCGCUGCCAUCCCGCUGACACCGAGCCCUGGCCCCGCCAUCUGCCCACACCGGGCCGGGUCCCCACGGCUGCCGGGCAGAGCCGGGCCCAGCACGGCCUGAAAUCCAUCGCCAUGAGUGCUGCGGCCACUGCCCGGCUGAAACCAUCGUGAGCAUCCACAGGCCUGGGUGAGAUAUCAACUCUCACUGCACAGACGAGACCUGCAGAGCUCGAUCCUCCCCUCGGGUGAGAGUAAAGGACAGAGUGAGGACAUGUAGAAGACAACAUGAAGAUGCCAAAGUCAGUAAAGAAGGAGUCAAGUCCCAGAUGGAAGGAGAAUGAGGAGAUGAUCUAGUACCAGUGCUGAAAGUUCUUUUGGUAAGGCCAUGGAGAUGGACUAUGAUACACUAAAAUAUCCCCUUUAACUCCCGAGAAAGUAUGGGGGAUGGAGUGUUCAAACUGUAGGUGUGAGCAGAGGCAUCCAUAACGAAGCAAAGCAGAUGUUGAGGGAGCUGUGAUCCCAUGAGAAGCUUGAAUAGAGAGACACAAGAGUGAGGAAGAGCCUUUGCCCCCAGGGAGAGGAGAAGGUCUCUGUUCCCAGAGAUGAAGAUGAUGGCAGAGAUAGAUGAAAGCAAUACAAUCAGCACACCCACACAGGCUGACACAAAGGGUUCCAGCAAGAAUGGCUGUUCCUUCCUAAUCCACUACUGAGAAGAUAUGCUAUUUGCAAGGCAUAGUGUUUCACUCACCUAUGAGCAAAAGUUCUAAUUCACCAGUGUGUAAUUUUGUAACAGGUUGUAUUUCUCUUUAUAAAAUCCCUUUUUUCUUUA